Molecule: ribosomal RNA, 449 nt
Filed under: uncultured bacterium
Lineage: Bacteria
Description: bacterial SSU rRNA
Rfam family: Bacterial small subunit ribosomal RNA
Source: RNAcentral
GUCGAGAAUCAUUCACAAUGGGGGAAACCCUGAUGGUGUGACGCCGCGUGGAGGAUGAAGGUCUUCGGAUCGUAAACUCCUGUCAUGUGGGAGUAAAGCCGGGUGUUAAAUGCAUGCCGGCGUGAGAGUACCACAAGAGGAAGGGACGGCUAACUCUGUGCCAGCAGCCGCGGUAAUACAGAGGUCCCAAGCGUUGUUCGGAAUCACUGGGCGUAAAGGGUGCGUAGGCGGCGCGGAAAGUCAGGGGUGAAAUCCCGGAGCUCAACUCCGGAACUGCCUUUGAUACUCCCGCGCUUGAGAACUGGAGGGGAGACCGGAAUUCACGGUGGAGCAGUGAAAUGCGUGGAUAUCGUGAGGAACACUAGUGGCGAAGGCGGGUCUCUGGACAGUAUCUGACGCUGAGGCACGAAGGCCAGGGGAGCGAACGGGAUUAGAUACCCCUGUAGUCC